Molecule: long non-coding RNA, 412 nt
Organism: Asterias rubens (European starfish)
Lineage: Eukaryota; Metazoa; Echinodermata; Asteroidea; Forcipulatida; Asteriidae
Exons: 5
Source: RefSeq, a predicted model, not a curated record
GGAAUCAACAACAAACAAGUGGUCCAUGUGAUGUGGGCAGAUAAUAUUUCAUAGAAUUACACCAAAACGAGCGAGCACAUUUUCCUACGCAUAUCCUAGAGAGAGAGAGAGGAACAUUGGAACAUAUGGAAGAAUGAAGCCUGUCCAAGCUACAUCAGAGAACAUCCUGUAAAUGCUGCAGCACAGCCCAAACCAAGAGCCAGGAAGCGAAGCUUAGGGGAGGAGCUUAGAAUCAGCACCCCCCCAACAAGAAGAUUGAUAUGGGAAGCCCUGAGCUGACAAGACUCUGGAAUAUCUGCCCUGACAAUCUGGAUGCAUGCCGUGCUAAAAUCAGAGCAAACCACAACUGAGGAGUUGAAGAUGGAGGAGCCAGUUGAUGUUACAAAUGACGACUUGCUCAAGGGAGAGAAUG